Molecule: ribosomal RNA, 253 nt
Filed under: uncultured bacterium
Lineage: Bacteria
Description: partial 16S ribosomal RNA
Rfam family: Bacterial small subunit ribosomal RNA
Source: RNAcentral
UACGUAGGUGGCAAGCGUUGUCCGGAAUUAUUGGGCGUAAAGCGCGCGCAGGCGGUCUCUUAAGUCUGAUGUGAAAUCCCGUGGCUUAACCACGGGCGGUCAUUGGAAACUGGGGGACUUGAGUGCAGAAGAGAAGAGCGGAAUUCCACGUGUAGCGGUGAAAUGCGUAGAUAUCUGGAGGAACACCGGUGGCGAAGGCGGCAUCCUGGACCGAUAUUGACGCUGAGGAGCGAAAGCCAGGGGAGCAAACGGG